GACCUGCUCAGGAUGAACGCUAGCUACAGGCUUAACACAUGCAAGUCGAGGGGCAUCGGGAAGAAAGCUUGCUUUCUUUGCCGGCGACCGGCGCACGGGUGAGUAACACGUAUCCAACCUGCCCUUUACUCGGGGAUAGCCUUUCGAAAGAAAGAUUAAUACCCGAUGGCAUAAUGAUUCCGCAUGGUUUCAUUAUUAAAGGAUUCCGGUAAAGGAUGGGGAUGCGUUCCAUUAGGUUGUUGGUGAGGUAACGGCU
This 256-nucleotide ribosomal RNA is filed under the name uncultured bacterium. Its description in RNAcentral is "partial 16S ribosomal RNA". It matches the Rfam family "Bacterial small subunit ribosomal RNA", at positions 17 to 265 of the family's 1533-position model. The record is from RNAcentral.